ACGGCAGCACGGGAGCUUGCUCCUGGUGGUGAGUGGCGGACGGGUGAGUAAUGCAUAGGAAUCUGCCUAGUAGUGGGGGACAACCUGGGGAAACUCAGGCUAAUACCGCAUAAGCCCUACGGGGGAAAGUGGGGGAUCUUCGGACCUCACGCUAUUAUAUGAGCCUAUGUCUGAUUAGCUUGUUGGUGGGGUAAAAGCCUACCAAGGCGACGAUCAGUAGCUGGUCUGAGAGGACGAUCAGCCACACUGGGACUGAGACACGGCCCAGACUCCUACGGGAGGCAGCAGUGGGGAAUAUUGGACAAUGGGGGCAACCCUGAUCCAGCAAUGCCGCGUGUGUGAAGAAGGCCUGCGGGUUGUAAAGCACUUUCAAUUGUGAAGAAAAGCUGAAGGUUAAUACCCUUCAGUCUUGACGUUAGCUUUAGAAGAAGCACCGGCUAACUCCGUGCCAGCAGCCGCGGUAAUACGGAGGGUGCAANCGUUGGUCGGAAUUACUGGGCGUAAAGCGCGCGUAGGCGGUUUUGUAAGUCGGAUGUGAAAGCCCCGGGCUCAACCUGGGAAUUGCAUUCGAUACUGCUUGACUAGAGUAUGGUAGAGGGAAGUGGAAUUCCAGGUGUANCGGUGAAAUGCGUAGAUAUCUGGAGGAACAUCA
This 652-nucleotide ribosomal RNA is filed under the name uncultured Ectothiorhodospiraceae bacterium. RNAcentral's name for it is "bacterial SSU rRNA". It matches the Rfam family "Bacterial small subunit ribosomal RNA", at positions 66 to 711 of the family's 1533-position model. Lineage: Bacteria; Pseudomonadati; Pseudomonadota; Gammaproteobacteria; Chromatiales; Ectothiorhodospiraceae. The record is from RNAcentral.